AAGUCGUAACAAGGUUUCCGUAGGUGAACCUGCGGAAGGAUCAUUAACACGUAUCCAAACGUUUAAAAAAAAAAGAAAACCCCCCUGUGAACAUUUGCUUGCUCUUGCAGCCCGCCUGGCUAGAAAAUCCCUGGUAAAUCAUCGCUGAACUAGUUUGAUUCAGGGACCGUCUGGUUGGGUGAGAGCCAUAGCUGCAAUCGAGAGAUCGUGGCAUAACCAAGCCUGCUCCGUAAAGUCCCCUGCGUACGUGAAAGUGGUAUUGGGGUGUAUGUACUGGAGAAACCCUUCUGGAUGAUGGACGGCCACCACGGCAGGAUUACCCCGCUACCAGUCGAAACGACCAACCUGCGCAACCAUUACGUGUUGAGCCCGUGGGCGUCGUAAACCGAAAUACUUGAACAACUGUUAACAAUGGAUAUCUUGGUUCUC
Molecule: unclassified non-coding RNA, 429 nt
Filed under: fungal sp.
Lineage: Eukaryota; Fungi
Description: partial internal transcribed spacer region
Rfam family: Eukaryotic small subunit ribosomal RNA (bases 1-46)
Source: RNAcentral